This 255-nucleotide long non-coding RNA is filed under the name Elaeis guineensis (African oil palm). RNAcentral's name for it is "long non-coding RNA (EGUI_LNC048721)". The record is from RNAcentral. Lineage: Eukaryota; Viridiplantae; Streptophyta; Magnoliopsida; Arecales; Arecaceae.
ACAGCGGAAGACUAAAAUAAAUUAAAAUUUAUUUUUUAAAAUUAGAAAAUUUCUAGAUCUAAGAUCCUAUUACAUGAUUAUUACAUAGCAUUAAAUCAAAAAUUAAAAUAUAUAAAUAUAGCAUGAACUAUAUGUUGAUCAUAUCAACAUGUUUCUAUACUACAUCUAAUGUAUGUAUUAAACAAUAGAUCAGAUCUAUUACCUUGCAAGUUAGACGUUCUAACCUUAUUGAUCUGGGCUUGAGGAUGAUGUUGC